Molecule: long non-coding RNA, 2801 nt
Organism: Lynx canadensis (Canada lynx)
Lineage: Eukaryota; Metazoa; Chordata; Mammalia; Carnivora; Felidae
Exons: 3
Source: RefSeq, a predicted model, not a curated record
UACUAGUAACAAAGGAGGGUUAAGUGCUCCUUAUACAAAUUCAGAGGCAUAACAAAGACAUAUGCCCAAUGGAUAAACAUUCAUUGACUCUCGGAGAUGAGCCCCAAGAAGAGCCUGAGCAAGACUCAGCGAACAUCUUUCUGCAUCUUCUGGGACUGUCACGGCUCUUAUCUGCAACACUUUGGACUUCUCCAAACUUAAGGCUUUAAGAUGCAACUGUAGUCAAUCAACUUCCAUGCAACUCCCUAGAGAAAUGCCCUGGCUGUGCAAGCUCCCGCUGCCUAAAUAAGGUGAAGAUGCUUUUCCAAGGAAGUUGAGGAUUCUACCUCAGUGUAAUUCUGUGAGUGCAACAGGGCAAGGAAAGGAGACUCUUCUGGGCCUCCAGCAAUUACAAUAAUCUAGGUUAUGUUGCUGGAAACCCUCAACUCUUAGUGGCUUUAAACCAAAGAGGUCGAUUUCUUGUUCAUGCUACUUACCUCUUGUGGCAGGAGGAGGGGGGCUGGUGGAGAAGCUACCAUCGCAAAUACUGGUGGGUCCCCAUUCCAAAGAGGAAAGAAAGCUCUGGAGCAUUUUGCAUCAGUAAUUCAAUACUCCAGCCUGGAAGAGACCCUUAUCACUUCUACUCAUUAGCUGGAACCACAUGGCCCUAUCCAACCACAAGGAGACCAGGAAGUGCAAUCCACCUUGUGCUUGAAAGGGCAGAGAACUGGAAAUCUUUAGAGAACAGCACUAAUCGUAUCUACAGAACCUAAGAAAAGUUGAGCCGAUUGUGAUAACUAACCUUCCUAGGCCACUGUUCGGCCCAGACUAACUUGAGGCAAUUGCAAUCCGGAUUUCUAAACCUUGUGUUUCAGUCAGAGGAAAGAACUUUCAACAUUUUGCUCCUAAUUACCCUGUAUCCCUCUCAAAUUGUUCCUACUUCGAGGUAAAAUGUUUUGAGAACCCUGGCGCAAAGUCCCAGGACUAUCUCCGCUUCCUCGCUAACAUCCUUGGCACUUGGGCUCUCCUUGAGCAUCCCCCCGACCCCCACCGCCAACCCAGCCUCCCCUGCCACCCUGAGAGCCGCUUGCAUGCAUCACUGUUUCAGUGGAUGGCAGCAAUACACAAGGGCACCUCAUUGUUGGAAAGGAACUGCCUUCUGCCUGCCAAGGACAAAUGCAGACACACAAAGCUGUAUCAAACAAGACUUCACAUCAAAGGGAACCCUGCCUGGGCUUGCCAAGAGCAGGGCUGCUUCUGAGCCUCUCCCCUUAGCCUUGUUAGUAUUCUUAGGGCCCAAGGGGCCCCUGGUGCUCCUGGCAGGCCCCCUCAUUUACCCAGCACUCCUCUUCACUCUGACACCUGAAGCCCAGGCUCUCCCUGAAUUUGGCCUCGACCACUUGACAGAGCAGAAUGCCAAGUGUUUAACAACGUUGAGCGAUUAGGAAAGAAAAUUCAUGAGAAAUAUUUACUCUGUGAACUCCAUUUGAGUAGGAGAACAGAAUACUUCUUUGGUGCAACAACACAUAGAAAAUCAAAAAGUUCCUACCUGAGGCCUCAGGGAAAAGAGCACCAGAAGGAAAGCUUACCUACUGACGAAGCAAGGAUGCUUUAGGAGCAGAGGUUGGGAACGCUGGAACCAAGGUUGAAAAUGGAGAUUGGCCAGUUGUAGGCAUUUAGACCUGGUGAGAAGUGGUGAACUAAAGAUCCAGACAAACUUUCUACCUUAAAAUCAACAUAAGAAUUUAGGUCCUGUUACUUUAAGGAAAAGAAAAGGUCUUUGUUUUAAAAGAAGGAUGAGGGAAAAAUUGAAUAAAGGACUGAUAGCGACAGAGAAAGGGAUAAAAACUUUUAAUUUAGAAAACAGUUAAGGCCUUCUGUUCUGGGGGCUGAAGAACGCUUUUGGAAAGAGACAUUAAGUAUCAAAAUACAAUGGAAGUUUUAAAACACUGUAAAGUCACAUAUUAUGAGAGCUGGAAGGGGAACUUGGAGAUGGUCUUUUCCAAAUGAUUUCUUUGAGUUAAGAAAAUCUGAAACUCAGGGAUGUCAAGGGGCUUUUUCACAGUCACAUAGCUGGUUAGUUGCAAAGCUAUAGUCAGAGAUCUUGACUCUCAGGCUUGUAAGAGAGAGCAAUGCUUGGCAUGGCAUGUGAUCAGAGUACAUAGGUCUACAACUACAUCAGAUGUCUGAUUGAACCAAGUUCGGGGCACUCGACUCAUGUCAUUCUUUCCUCUCGUUUGGACAGAAACUUCAGAAACGACACCCCGGCUGCCAAUCUGAUAGUCGGCACCCACACGAAUGUCAAUCAGAAACCUCUUGGCAUAAUGAAAAAUAGUCCAAUCGGGAAUUUGAAGCUUUUGUAAACACAACAGAGGAUUGAGGUUAAAAUAGGGUGCGAAUCUGGGGAGGCAUCUGCCCCUCUGCUCUCUUCACCCUGGACUGCACCUGCGUAGCCGCACUUUGCGCUUGUCCAGGACCAGGAAGGGAGAUGAGAAAACAUCUUGUGGAAUCACUUCACCUUUCGCUGAUAUUUGGUUGAAAGGGAUACAGUUUUGACUUCCAGUGAUUAUUUAGCAUGUAGUAUAUAAAUCAGCUGGAAAAAAAAAUCUGGAGAGAUGAAGACGUGUUUUCUCCUGGUUUUACCUUGAAAGUGCGAAUUAUGAAGGUAGUUUUCCAUAUGUACAUGUUUAAGGUUCUACUAUUUUGUGGUGCCACUUAGAAUUUUGAAACCACUAGAGCCUAUUCCAUUCCUUCUCUCUUUCUUAAACUUGGAUCGAUCUUCUCCUGGGUGAAGUUUAAAAUAAUAAAAACCGAGAAAACCA